GGCAAGUGCCACACACGUUAGUGUGAUGGUGUGUGGGUUGCGAACAUUCCCCUCGCAAACACCGCCGUCCUUCAUGGGAGCAGAUUUGUCGUUUUUUCUCAGCUUUUUUCUGUUCUACAAACAACCUGCACUGGGCAUGUGUAUACUGUUCACCCAUUACUCGAGUUAGAGGAGAAAAGGCAAGCGAGGGAACACGCUGUUCGUGAAUGUAACCAACAAAGAAAUUGAGGGGCCGACCUGAAAGAAGUGGGUUUGGAAAAAGAGCCGAAGUUCCCAUCACGUGAUGACGCCAUCGAGUCCGCAGCUUGUACGAGGAAGCAUUCGCAAUCAAGUGGAUCCUGAGAAGAGCGGCAACAAAGAAGAUAAGAUAAGUGACUCUGUGCAAUCAGUGUGACUUGUCUCUCCCUUUGAAGGGCUACAAUUAAGGGCUCAUUUAAGUUAAGGUGUUAUUUAUUUAUCAAAGACGCAUCGGAUUAGUUUUAACCUGGAAAUAGCGGUUGAGAAAAAAGAUCAUUUUACUCAGUUAGCAAAAAAUGCUUUUAUGUUUGAACUUCGUAUUUCAAAGCUAAACAGGAAACCAACCUCAGUCUUCAUAAAUGAUUUUUCUCUUUUAACAAUCUUUCUUGCCAAUUCAUUUUUGAUAGCUGGGAAGCAGGUUUAUUUUGCGUUUAUGAUGCCCCAUUUGUAAAGAACAUCAAUUUCUGGGAUAAAUAGCAUGAUGUGCCAUGCAAAAUGUAUCAAAUCUUCACUCAACCUUCCUUACAAAAGGUAAAUAAACGGAUUAAAAUGACUGAACUUGUGUUUUUAUGUAUGUUUUCCACAAUUUUGAAGAUCACUUUUGGAUAUUUUUGCCUGCUAUUACAGAUCAAAUUUAUGUUUACCAAAGGCUGUGAUCAGUGAGCCAAGUUCAUUCAGAAGACUCUUCGCAAGCAGCAGGUCGCAGAUGAGCUGGAGCCUACCUCCACUGACUUUGCGCAAGAGGCAGCGUACAUCCUGGACCAGUCGGCAGCCGAUCGCCAGACAAACUACGACUCACACUCACAUUCACACCUAUGGGCAAUGUAACCUAGGAUGCAUGUUUUGGGGAUGUGGGAGGAAGCCGCAGUACCCACAGAAAACCCACCCAAGCACAGGGACGGCCCGAGCUCUCUUGCCUGGCAGCUCCAUCCUCAUCAUCCUGCUACCAAUCUACUCAGUAUCUCUCCUCUGGACGUGUCCAAACCAUCAAAGUCUGCUCUCUCUAACUUUGUCUCCAAAACAUCAAACCUUGGCUGUCCCUCAGGUUGCCGCUCCGCUUGAUGAGGCAUUUUUUGAAGUCCAGGCUCCUUGAUGAAAGACAAGGUGAUGGGAGAGCAGGGGGAGGAGGAAGAGAGGAUGUACGUGAAAAGGGAAUAUGAUGAUCUUGUUUAUUGGCUGAGGAGGAGACAGAAAUGACAAAAGCAAAAGGAGAAGCACAGCAGCGCUGGUGUCAGAUGUUACAAAUCCCUGCAAGGAGGAGAAAGAUGACAAGAGACAAAAGCUUUGUGAUGUUAAGAUUGAACUCAUCUGUUAGAAGAGAAGCUAAAAAUGGAGAAAUUGGUCUCUAAAAUAUGAAAAGCUCUUGGCUGAUGCUCGGGGUUGGUUUAAGAUUCUUUGCGUUAUUGAUGAGCCUGUCAGGCCAACUCUUCAUCAGGUUGUGGGAAGCCUGUGGGUGGAGAGAUGAAGAGGAGAAGUGAAGAGAAAUGCAAAGAGGCAGUCUAUGGGUGAAAGGAUGGGUUCGACUGAAGGUCUACAGAGUGUGGAAGCAGUUUCCUGAAUAAUAGUGAAUAAUGAACAGAGACAGAAGUGGAGGAAGAAGAUGGGAAUAGAGUUGAAGGACUUCAAAGCAAAGCCCCGAUGUCAUGGCUAAUCAUCGUACCGUCAAGAAUGUCCAUACUUGAGACAUUCAUUCAGCCAUGUAACACGAGAUGUACUGUCGACAAGUAUAAGUCCAGUAAAUAGGUAUUUUGACGUCUGGCAAGUACAAUGGCGGAGAGUGAAAAGUCAAGAUAUGGCAUUGCAGCCAUAAUAGCUUCCAAUCUUCUGGGAAGACUUUCUACAAUAUAGAAGAAGGAGCAACCCCUCAUUCAUUGUUUAACACAUUUAGGGGGUGUCACUGACAGUGUUUAUGUCAUGGUAUUGAAUUCAUCAAUGUUUCUGCGCACGUAAUUCAUUUGAAGUAACUUAUUUAUCAGUACGAGCUGACUGUGCAGAACCUGAUUGUUUUUUCAUCUGUGUGCUUACUUGGGCCAAGAUGGACAGAGUGACUGCAGAGACAACUGAGUCAUCCCAUCUGCCAGUUGGCCAAGAGGAGCAGCAGUCCGCCAGUCUGCCUGUCUCUUUCAAACAUGACCGUGAUUAUUUCUCUUGGCACAAUCGACUUGUGUGGCUUUCAAAUGCCCAACAUCUGACCUAUAUUCUGUUGCGAUUUUGCUUUUUUCAACCCCGAGCCCUCCUGUCAUUUUCUUCCCCCUGUUCGUCCUCUUCUUUUAGUUGAUAUUUAGGUCAGGAAGGGGACCACAUUUUUAUUCUGAGGCUGAGAGCUUACUGUCCACUCGCUGUCCAACCCCUGAUAUGUAAUUGAAAACACACAGAUGGAUUAGCUGGAGAGAGAUCAAUGCAAGUGGUCAGUGGAUUUGGAACCUCUACACAGUAGGGAGAGGAAGAGGGGUGGAUGAUGGACAGUUCCAGGGAUUUAGACUCGCUCUUGAUCAGCUGGAGUAUGUUGAAUCCAAUAUUAAAUUCGCCAUGUGCCCAGACAAUGACAUGCAAGCACAUGGACCACAGAGGGUGUAAAAGUGCAUACAAAUGUGCAUCAUGCAUUCAUUUACAUUUUGCACAUAAAUCGAACCCGUUCUGUGUGAAUCAUAGUAGACAUAAUGACUAAUAAUCAGAUGUACACUUGCGACCAGUGAUCUUUCUCAUUAUCGGGUCUGUGAUGUAUUCCAUCAUGCCUCCCUUGAAGUAAUUCAUCGAGACUACAGUGUUGAUUCAGCCAGUCUGACUUUACUUCACGUUUGGUGACCUGACAGACAGUUUAGCAAAUGUACUUCCUAAAGCAAGGGUCUGCAACCCGCGGCUCCAGAGCCGCAUGCAGUUCUUUCAUCCUUGUGCUGUGGCCCUCUGUGGCUUUGGGGAAACGAAGGGGACAUCUAGCCGUGAUGUGUCGACACUAUACACUGAGGUUCAGAAGCAAAAAAGAAAUAAAUCACAUUAACCAGGUCAAAUGUUUUUAUUGCCUAUACAUAUACAACCCCAAUUCCUGUGUGUAAGCAAUAUCGAAACUGAUGGCCCAUAGAGUUCCAUCAUCCAAAGAGGAUGGAACUCUGUACUAGCAUUGAGCUGUCCCCAUUAUAAACUGUCAGAGAGGUAUUCAUCUAAAUUGGUGUAGAAGUGCUCUUUUUUCGAGUCAUCUAUUUAACUACCCACAAAUUUGCGUGGUCCAGUCAUCUUAUGUCUCUUGUACAGUAUGUCCUCCUCCGUGAACCGGGAACAAACAGACGUACAAACAAACACAAAUGUCUGAGCUCUACUGUGUGACAUUACAGUUAUCGUUGUACUGAAUGUUUUCCAGUUUUUUUUUUCCUCAUUUCCAUUGGCUCAAAUCCUUUAAGACAGACUAGCUUUUGUUAUUUCUAGUCAUCUUUACUUUUAUGAUGUUUCUCUUGCUGUUUCUAGCUUGUCUUUCGCAGUCAAGGUCAGCCACUUGUAAUAUGUUGCUCAGUGCUUCAGUUUGCUUCGGAGAUGAUCGCUAAAGCGCUGACAACAUGACCUUCUCCCUGACUGAUAUUGGUCAAGUGGGCUGUUUCUAUUAAUGAGCGCAUCAGUGUGACACUGGGCUUAAAGUCGCGUAUAUGUUGAAAUGUUAAAUGUAGUGCUUAAUACGGUGGUGGCAGGAAUACAUUCUGUCUUCCUGAAGUGCAUAAGUAGCAUAAAAUACAUUGUAGCAAAGGGGAUGGAGAAGGCAGUCGGACAGGAGCUCUAGAGAGAUGAUGAGGAAAGAAGAGGAAUACAAAUAGGAGGUGCGCGGUGGGUUUCACCAGGAGGAAGGAGGAAGGAGAGGGGGAGAAGACAAGAUCAAAGAAGCCAGAUGAGAGAAAGGGAGUAAGGGUGGAAAUAUAGAUAGCGGAGAAGACAAAGAAGAGUGGAAGAGUGGAAGAGCGGUUUAGAAAGACAACGAUGUACUGAGCGAAUCAGCCGUCUUGCCAGCGCUUCUGUGACCUAGAUUCUCUGCUUCUCCCUGAAUCCCUCUCUCAUGAAUGUUUGAUUAGGCCUCCAACAAGAGCUGUGUUUACACUUUUUUAAAUUACUACUCAUCUGCAGAGGGGAGGGGAAAUCAAAGCCAUUCAGCGUGGCAGGAAAAUGGGAGAAGAAUUGAUUUGAGGUGAAUCGCUCAAAGGGCCAAACUGGGCUGCACACGCACACAGACACACACACAAACACAAAAACACACACAGUCCUCAUCAUCAAUCAAUCAAGUUUAUUUAUAGAGCACUUUUCAUACAACAGAUAGUAACACAAAGUGCUUUCAACAAUAAAAGUCAAGGUUAACGGCCUGACAGACACGCACACACACAUACAUAGAAUCAGGAAACACUUGAGUAAAAGGUGUUCAAAACAGAUGCAUUAAAAACAAUUGGAAUUGCAAAUGUUUACCAUCUAAAACAAUAAAUACGAAAAUACUUAGCAAAAGUACAAAGAAGGAAAAUAGAAACAACCAUACAACAAAAUAUAUAAAUGAACUGACCUAAAGCGGGCAUAAACAUUGAUUUGAAUUAUAAAAGGGGAAAAUAAAUAGGUAAAAUAUUAUGAAACAUAAGUAUGUUCAAUUAGUAGGCAAAAAGGUCAAGCUUGAGUUUCUGUUUUGGGCCCCCCUGAGCAGUCGUCUGACUGAGCCACUUUGCCAUCCGUACUCUAACUCUGGCAAAUUCUCAGCAUCCCCGAACCUUGGCUCGGCACACCUUGGAACAUCAACCAUCACCAUGGUCACAGAUAAACCUCUGUCUGUGUUGCUAUGGUAACCAUUCUGGGAAGUGAAACCCGUGACAGCCACGAGGAGCGCGAUAGAGAGGAGCCAUAAACUUAAGACAACAAAAUGGCGCCGAGAUUAAACAAACUCCUGCUAUCACAACAAACAACAAUGGAUGCUGGGAAAGCACAAAUGUCAUUUUGCUCCUUUCUCUGUCCUCAACUCAUUUUCCCCAGUGGACAUAUGCGCAUGGGUGCAUGGGUGCAUAAACAUAAACAUGAAGGCACACAUGCACACACAGCCUUUCAUCCCAUUCCAGUAACCAGAGAGAAUUGGUUCAGCAUCAGUAAUCUCCGAAAAGCCCACUUUUUGGAAGCUGCUGCAAGUGGAGCAGCACAGAUGAACGGCUAGUUAAAGCUAACAGCUAACAAAGUCGAACAUGAAUAUGACAUACAGCAGCACCGUGUAAGCGAUGAGGCAUAGGAUUGUGAUGCACUUCUUAAUUGAUGAAUUUGCAGUAUUUUAAUUAUUCAGUUAAUUAACCAGGUGUUGAUUUGCAUCAUCAACACUCGUUCCUCUGAACGAGUGUUGAGAAAGCGAGAGGGCGAGAGAGGGAGCGGGAGAGAGAGACAAACAAUUUACCGCAAGGUGUUUUCUCAAGUUAGAAGUGGGCUGAAAUGUCCAAGUUUAGCUAGUCACAAUUUAAGAGCUACAUGGCAAAGCUGUUGUUCUUCUGAGUCUCUAAAGUAAACACUGGUGCGGCUGUUUUUUUCCCCCUAAAAUGAGUCACUUUGAUUGGCCCACGAAGGGUUUGUGUGCAGUCAUGUGACUGCCUUGUGCCGUCUGAUUGGUGAACAGGGGGGCCCAAAACAUGUCACUCGUGAUCACGUUGGAUUGGCGCAACGGCGCCCUAUGCGGAAGUCGAAGAUGAAGUCUAAAAAUAGAUCGCGCACGCACUAAUGGAUAAAUAAAAGUGAUGUCGAUCAUUGUAAUGGAGUAAAAGUAGCAAUUCUUUCUUCACACAAGUAAAAGUGUGGUUCAUUCAAACUACUCUCAUUCAUUCAUCUUCUGUACCGCCCGCUAUGUUCGGGCGAGAGGCGGGGUACACCCUGAACUGGUCGCACUCACAUUCACACCUAUGGGCAAUUUAGAGUCUAUGGGCAAUUAACCUAGCAUGCAUGUUUUUUGGGGGAUGUGGGAGGAAACCGGAGUAUGUAUAAAAGUGUGACACAAGUGUGUGUACGUGUGUGUUUGUGUGACCUCCAGCUUAAUUGCACUUUAUUAAACCAGUUUAUUUCUUUACAUUCUGUUUUAUUGAAUUAUAUGAUAUUUGAAUAGAACAUUAUUGACAGUGCAAACUAUAAAAUCUUGUAAUAAAUCUUUCCUCUCAU
Phyllopteryx taeniolatus (common seadragon) is the source of this 6378-nucleotide long non-coding RNA. RefSeq lists it as uncharacterized. NCBI's taxonomy places the organism in Eukaryota, Metazoa, Chordata, Actinopteri, Syngnathiformes, Syngnathidae. The transcript has 5 exons. The record is from RefSeq and is a predicted model, not a curated record.